ACGAAUAACUAUGGUGUUGGUUGUAGCUGCCUCCUCGGAGGAAUGUGCACGCCCGCCAUUUUUAUCUUUCCACCUGUGCACCGACUGUAGGUCUGGAUAACGCUCGCCUCACGGCGGAUGCGAGGGUUGGACUGCUUCACGGCGGUUCUCCCCUCGAAUUUCCAGGUUCUACGUCUUUUACACACCCCAAUAGUAUGAUAUAGAAUGUAGUCAAUGGGCUUCUUAGCCUAUAAAACACUAUA
Molecule: unclassified non-coding RNA, 242 nt
Filed under: uncultured Coprinellus
Lineage: Eukaryota; Fungi; Basidiomycota; Agaricomycetes; Agaricales; Psathyrellaceae
Description: sequence contains ITS1
Source: RNAcentral